This 64-nucleotide transfer RNA is filed under the name Loxodonta africana (African savanna elephant). It matches the Rfam family "tRNA". Rfam says of the family: Transfer RNA (tRNA) molecules are approximately 80 nucleotides in length. Their secondary structure includes four short double-helical elements and three loops (D, anti-codon, and T loops). Further hydrogen bonds mediate the characteristic L-shaped molecular structure. tRNAs have two regions of fundamental functional importance: the anti-codon, which is responsible for specific mRNA codon recognition, and the 3' end, to which the tRNAs corresponding amino acid is attached (by aminoacyl-tRNA synthetases). tRNAs cope with the degeneracy of the genetic code in two manners: having more than one tRNA (with a specific anti-codon) for a particular amino acid; and 'wobble' base-pairing, i.e. permitting non-standard base-pairing at the 3rd anti-codon position. The record is from Rfam by way of RNAcentral. Lineage: Eukaryota; Metazoa; Chordata; Mammalia; Proboscidea; Elephantidae.
GGCCCAAUGAUUAACUACUCAGUUGCCAACUGAAAGGUCGGUGGUUCAAAUCCACUUUUGGCUU